Acipenser ruthenus (sterlet) is the source of this 353-nucleotide long non-coding RNA. RefSeq lists it as uncharacterized. The transcript is spliced from 4 exons. The record is from RefSeq and is a predicted model, not a curated record. NCBI's taxonomy places the organism in Eukaryota, Metazoa, Chordata, Actinopteri, Acipenseriformes, Acipenseridae.
AACAGUGGGGUGUUUUUCCUUUCUGGCUGGCUUGACAAGGGUACUCACAAUGUCACCCGUUUGCAGAAGACUGGAAUUCCGCUUUGGUUUUGCUGACAGUUGGGAAGAAUUUCCACCACUCCAACUGCCUGGAAAGAAAGUUGUGUAAUGGUUUAAGCAUCCUCAAGGUCAUGACAAGUCUUGCAAAUGUAAAAAUCCCUGAAACUGAGGACUGCUGAGGAAAUCCCAGGACUUUAUAUAAAAGAUUAGAUAACAGUUACUUCCUGGUCCAUGACGUCAUCACACCUCACCACUCCAAGCCAGCCUUGUGACACCAAGGAUGUUUUCUCAAUAAACUACAUGGCACUUGAGAG